UGGGGAAUAUUGGGCAAUGGGCGAAAGCCUGACCCAGCGACGCCGCGUGGGUGAUGAAGGCCUUCGGGUUGUAAAGCCCUGUCAUGCGGAAAGAACGACCCUGAGACGCAUACUCUCAGGCAGUGACGGUACCGCAGGAGGAAGCACCGGCUAACUCCGUGCCAGCAGCCGCGGUAAUACGGAGGGUGCAAGCGUUGUUCGGAAUUAUUGGGCGUAAAGGGCGCCUAGGCGGUAAUGUAAGUCAGAUGUGAAAUACGGCGGCUCAACCAGAGAACAGCAUCUGAAACUGCAUGACUAGAGUACAGGAGAGGGAAACGGAAUUCCCGGUGUAGAGGUGAAAUGCGUAGAUAUCGGGAGGAACAACAGUGGCGAAGGCGGUUUCCUGGUCUGAUACUGACGCUGAGGCGCGAGAGCGUGGGGAGCAAACAG
RNAcentral lists this ribosomal RNA (429 nucleotides) under uncultured bacterium. RNAcentral's name for it is "bacterial SSU rRNA". It matches the Rfam family "Bacterial small subunit ribosomal RNA", at positions 355 to 775 of the family's 1533-position model. The record is from RNAcentral.